RNAcentral lists this unclassified non-coding RNA (252 nucleotides) under uncultured fungus. RNAcentral describes it as "partial contains small subunit ribosomal RNA, internal transcribed spacer 1, and 5.8S ribosomal RNA". The stretch from base 1 to 73 matches the Rfam family "Eukaryotic small subunit ribosomal RNA", at positions 1759 to 1831 of the family's 1831-position model. The record is from RNAcentral. Lineage: Eukaryota; Fungi.
GCAAACUUGGUCAUUUAGAGGAAGUAAAAGUCGUAACAAGGUUUCCGUAGGUGAACCUGCGGAAGGAUCAUUCAUAAUAAAAGUGUUUAUGGCACUUUUAAAACAAUCCAUAUCCACCUUGUGUGCAAUGUUUUUCUUAUUAACACUUUAUUUUAUAUCUUUUGUCUGAAAUAUUUUAUGAAUUUUACUUAAUUCGAAAAUAUAACUUUCAACAACGGAUCUCUUGGCUCUCGCAUCGAUGAAGAACGCAGC